GACGCUCAACCGACUGAGCCACCCAGGUGCCCCAAAUCCAGUCGUAUUUUAAAUGAGAUAGGGGUUGGGGACAUAAGUAAGCAAGGCUGUUCUUUCGUGGGCUUCUCCUUGGGAGUUUUGGUCCGGUUCCAAAACAAUCUCACUGUGUCGCCUAUUCCUUAUCAUAAACACAGAAAUUCAGAUGACUCAUUCAGUGUUGGAAUCCGUGUUACAUUUUUUAUUGUUGUAGUUGUGGCUCUGUUCUCUACGCGGAGCCUAAAUUACUUAGAAAAUACAUCAUUUUAUAUUUAUCACAAAAUAGAUCAUUUGACAAGUGUAAGAAAGCCCACCACUUGUGGCAUUUAAUAUUUCUUGUGUAGGAUGGAACUGUAAGUUUUCUGGAAGCGAAGGAACUACCAAACUAAUACUAAAAAGUCAAGAGAAACAGAAAGAGGGAUUUAAAAUCUUACAAGACCCAAGUGCGUGACGGAAACAGAUGAGAUCGUUGGCCUGCUCUUUGCCCACUGCUUUCUCUCUGGCCUUCGAGAGCCCCCUCCCCACCCAGGAAACCCUCCUGUCCAUGGCCCUAGCACUUUCCAGACUGCCUUCCCUCAGACGAGACCGCUGCUCGACCAUCGUUCUGUCCUGUCCUUGGUGGACAGCGUCUCCGAGACGCCCUCCCAGAGCACCGCAAGCUCAGGGCCGCCUCCUCCCGGACCUUCUGCUGUUGCCCCCACCGGCUGCGCAUCCUUCCGUCUUUCUCCAGGUCCGUCAGCACCCGGGACCCGUGUAUACGUGUGUACGUGUCCUGUCUGUCCACGUUGGUUGCCCUCAGGAGGAUCAGCCCAGUGGGGCAAAUAAGACCCCUUGGCACCGCGGGGCAGGCGACGAAUGGCGAUGAAGGAUGGCAGGCAUAUCUGUUUGUCCGCUCGACGGGCAGCCUGCAAACGGCUUCGGACCGGCGACUCCUGGUGUGCUCUCAGCAGGGGAGAGUCACGUCAUUUCCAGGUUGGCAUAUGAUGUUAGGAUGUGUGACCAGGGUGACCUACGGUGACACACAAGACCUGUAGCAACGUGUCAGGCGCAAGAACCCGCCACUGCCGGAGUCAGGGGGAGGUGCGGGUAGGGCGAGCUCAGCGUGUGUGGCGCCCAUCGUGUGCGGUGUGGUCGGCAGCCCAGGGAACCGUCCUCUGACGCCGUUGCCUCCAGAACCCGUGAUCCCUUUUCCACGAGCCGGAGUCUCAGACACAGGACUAUAUGCAGACGUUAGGUCCCAGAUGACGCCAGGGUCUGUGGGAUGUCACCACGCCUCCCGCAAGGGAAGACUAGUCCCAGAGCUGACCCGGGGCUGAGGUUCACAGGACCAGCGGGUGACGGACAGGGGGACCAGACAGGGAGGCGCUGUGGCCGCGGACAUCCCAGAGCAGGAGAUUGUGACUGUUUCCAGCACUAUCACAACGGGUGGGGCUGAGGUUCAUUCCCCUCAAAAUUAUUUGGGCGCAUUCUUCUAUUUUUGCCACUCUUUCAACAAGGGUCUGCAUCUGAUUAUAAUAAAAACCCAUGAGCCGUG
Lynx canadensis (Canada lynx) is the source of this 1549-nucleotide long non-coding RNA. RefSeq lists it as uncharacterized. The record is from RefSeq and is a predicted model, not a curated record. Lineage: Eukaryota; Metazoa; Chordata; Mammalia; Carnivora; Felidae. The transcript is spliced from 2 exons.